UACGGAGGGUGCAAGCGUUAUCCGGAUUCACUGGGUUUAAAGGGUGCGUAGGCGGGCAGGUAAGUCAGUGGUGAAAUCUCCGGGCUUAACCCGGAAACUGCCGUUGAUACUAUCUGUCUUGAAUAUUGUGGAGGUAAGCGGAAUAUGUCAUGUAGCGGUGAAAUGCUUAGAUAUGACAUAGAACACCUAUUGCGAAGGCAGCUUACUACGCAUAUAUUGACGCUGAGGAGCGAAAGCGUGGGGAGCGAACAGG
Molecule: ribosomal RNA, 253 nt
Filed under: uncultured bacterium
Lineage: Bacteria
Description: partial 16S ribosomal RNA
Rfam family: Bacterial small subunit ribosomal RNA
Source: RNAcentral